AUUUAAAAUAUAAACUUGAUAUUCAGUCUAAGGAAACUGCGGAGCGACAGAAAAACCAACAAUAUCUCCUGUUUUCUCCUUUAAUGAGUCGACUCUUCUUGUGCUUUCAGACCAAAGAACUACAGACUCUUCACAACCUGCUCAAACUCUUGGUACAGGACCUCACCACACGGGUCAAGAAGGUUUCCGUCUCAUUUCUACUCUGAAGCUCACCUUCUCCUGCUCAAACUGCUGACAAAUGUUUCUGCUGCUCUAAAGUCUGCUCUCCAGAACUUCCUAAAAACUCUCAAAGUCUCUUCUGCUGCAGGUUGCUUUGUAGAACUGUUCCAGAAAACCUCACUAAACCACAUGGAGGAGCCUCAAGAUAGUCGUCCAAAUGAAACUGUACAAAAACCAAACUAGCACAACCCAAAUGCUAAAGUCUCCUGCAGCCUACCAGAGAACCUCUGAGAACAGAGAAUCAGGACAGGAACUCUUACCUUCUGGACAACCAACGUGGGUUGACAAACAAGAAUACAGAAUGUGUCUGACCAAAAACCUCUAAAGACUCACUACAGCCAAGGUAAAGACACAACGCAGCUGCACCAAAUCCACUAAUCACUGCACACAUUAGCACCAUGUGCUAACUGUGGCUAAAGAACCACAUUUACCAAGACAGCUUAUCCGGUACAAAGCCCUAAAACACACCAAGAAACACAUUAAAGACGAUUUUACUGCUGGAAGCUGCAAGCCAACGCCUAAAGAACAAAUUAAAGCAACGGAGCCAAACCCGAUUCAGUGGCGAAGAGAAGCAGAGGAAAUGUUUGAUGCUGCCAAAUAAAGCAGGAAGACACUGAGCUGCUCAGGUGUUCCUGAUAACACCGAGCUGCUCAGGUGUUCCUGAUAAUACCAAGCAGCCACUUGGGCAGCCAAUAGGAACACAGCUUACUGGAAGUCCAGAGGGCUGGGUUAGUGAAGGAAAUUUAGUUUAAAGUUGAAGCAGAAAGUUAACAAAGAAAGUUGAAAACCACCUUCUGAUACCUGAAAUGUCGGAGUUUUCACACAAAGAACACCUGAACAUGUCAAACUGGUUCCAUAGUAGAACCCUCAUUGUAAAAACGUCAUAGUAUGGUGUGUUGCUCAAAAAACGUUACGACGCGGCUGUCUAGGGUUGCCGAGGAGCAACACAAAAACAGGACAGCAUUACUUCUCAAUACAAAAUAGUGUAAAGGCAGACCAGUGCUACCUUGGACAUGAGCGAAAACACUCUGUGUUAAUGACAAGACUAAGACUUGGACACUGUGGACUGGCAUGGGAUUUAGCUAAAAUCGGCAAACAUAAGGACGGAUUAUGUGGAGCCUGCGGCAAACUGAAACGUCUGCUCAUGGAGUGCAGCCUGUUUGAGGAACAAAGAACACCGUUAUAUGCCAAGAUGUCACAUGAGGGAAUGGAAUCAAUCACAAUGAGGAGUCUCCUUAAUCCCAGAGAGAACCAGGCAAGGACGGUGAACGCAGUCCUUCACUUUAUCAACUCCACAGGAUUACAUCUUUGGAAGUAGGAAUGAUCUGAAUUCUGCAUUCUCUCCCUGACCUGCGAGAGGCAGCAAUGUGCCGCAAGGCAUCCACCCUGCCGGAAAUUCAUAAGAAGAAGAAGAAGACGAAGUGAAUCCCGUUAUUGAAGUCGGAACAAACAUACGCCGGAACCAUGUUUACGACACACAGGGGAUGAGGGGAAUCUUGAGGCUGCGACACACAGGGAUGUAAACAUUCAAAGCUGCCGCGGAUUGUAAACUCUUCCGUUAUUUCAGUAUUUUAUGUCUGUAAACACAAAACACUAGCGUAUCGAACAUAAUGCACUUCUAACGGCUUUCCUGAAUUUCCGGUUACACGUCACUGACACUUCGUUUAAAAUGUUCAGCAGACAGGCGCUUUGCUUUGGAGUGUGACGAUGUGACGAGUGAAAGUAGCAGUUCCUCCUGAAGGUCAGAGAUCGCAGCAUCUGAGGGCCUCUUCAAAAGAAGACGUAGUUGAUGAAGGCGUUCUGGAGCAGGACCAGAAAGACCACGACCAAGCAGCCUUGAGAUCUUAGGCAGCGUCUCCCUCAGGUCCCUCUCUAUCUCCCCACACAUCCACCAACCACUGGAACACAUCUCCAAAGUUCUGCUGGGCCAGCUCAGCUUCCCCUCAGAAGAAGUGCUGCCACCUGCCAGAUGAAGGAGCCUUUUGAGAGGCAGCUGGCAUCGUGAUUGGACUGUACUUUGGUCUGUUCCAAUCCAGCUUCAGCCCCAGAGACGGCAGGCGGGACGAGUCAACGGAGGCCGGGUGGACGAAGGCAUGCAGCUGAGUACAAUCCAGAAAACAACAGAGGAGGAGUGCAGGGCCAGAAGAGAGUAGCAUCGUAUGUCUCUUAGAAAACAUCAUAGUAUAGCCUUUGGUAUGAAAAAACACAAUCAUAUACAUCGUAGAUUGUACAAAUAACAAGUCAAAGCAAAGAGACAUACAUUGUAGAAUUGUAGUAAUUGUGGGCUGAUUGAUUUACUGAUUAUCAGUAUUUUAUUUUUACUGAUUUACGGUAAUAAAUACAUUUAAAAAUGGUGCUA
Long non-coding RNA from Amphiprion ocellaris (clown anemonefish), 2578 nucleotides. RefSeq lists it as uncharacterized. The record is from RefSeq and is a predicted model, not a curated record. NCBI's taxonomy places the organism in Eukaryota, Metazoa, Chordata, Actinopteri, Pomacentridae. The transcript has 3 exons.